GCCUAAUGAUCAAAAGGUUUCACAAUUUGUAAUUUUAAUGGUUGAUAUGAGGCGUUUUCUUGUUUAACGGUGUAAAUAUAUCCAAAUUAAUUGAAAUUUUGUUAAAAAAUUUUUUAAACUAUUUAAAACAAGAUCUAUACUCUUGAUCUUGAUUACAAGACUCCUAUCAUCAUUUUUUAAAGAAUAUUCAUUUUCAGCCGUUCAUUUUUGUGUCCACUCGAUGGAUAAGAGAACAAUAUCGAAAAUAUAUGAAAUUUGAUUUCUAAACACUUCAAGUGGUAUAGAUCAUGUUUAAUGGUGCCGAUCAUCGAUUUGGAGGCUCCAUCAUCGAAAAUAAAUAGGUGGCAACGGAGCCCGUUUACUAUCGAUAGUAUUCUAGCUCAACUCUCUCUCUCUCUCUCUCUCUCUCUCUAUAUAUAUAUAUAUAUAUAUAUAUAUAGAAUUAGGCUGGAAUACUAUUAGUAGUAAAACACUCUUUUUGCUAUCAAGUUUUAACCCUUGGAUGAAAAAUUGUAGGGUUAGGAUGAUAUUAGUCACUAGAGUUGAGUGGUCCCCCUAGGGUUGAGUGGUCCGCACUGGGUUAUAGCAUUUAAUCCAAUGGUUAGAAAUGAUGAAAAGAGUUGAUCCAAUGACUAAAAAACUAGUAGCAAUAAUGGAAUUUUGCUACUCAUAGUAGCCCAGUCCAACUCAUAUAGCUACUAUACUAUUAUGAGUAUUCGAGCCCUCAUACUCAUAAGUUGUUUUCGAUGAUGGAGCUUCCGAAUCGACGAUCCACUUCGUUAAAUAUGAUCUAAAGUAUUUGAAACUUUUAGAAAAUAAAUUUCGUAAAUUUUCGAAAUCAUAAUAAAGUCCAUCAAGCGGGCAUAAAAUGAACAAUCAAAAUUGAACGACAUCCUAAAAAAGGAUGAUCGGAUCCUUCAAUUCAAGAUUGGAGUUAUUGAUCUUUAUCUAGGUAGUGAAGAGAAUUUUCUAUCAAAAAUUCAACAAAUUCUGAUUCUUUUACACUGUUAAACUAGCAAGUAUCCCAUGCCGGCCAUUAAAAAUUGUCAAUUUUGUGACCUCUUGAUCGUAAGGUAAAUAAUAUCGAAAAAUUAUAAAAUUUGAUUUCUAGAAGUUUUAAAUGCUGUAAAUAACGUUUAACGGUAUGAAUAUAUAAUGUAAAAAUAAUAAUUAAAUAUUUAUGACGUCAUGGUGACGUCAUUAGUUCAGUGACUGUUGAUCCAAUAAUAUUUUCAGGUCGCUGUUUAACUCAAUUUUUAAACUUUUUAUUUUAUAAUGUCUUGAACUAUAGCCAACUAUUCUAAAUAGUGACUACUGAACCAUACGUGGAAAAAUCCCCACCUUUGGAUAGGUGGGAUGUAUAUUAUACAUCCCUUUACGGACGUUUGCGUAAUGUUGCUCAUUCAAUUGGAAAAAAGCUAUUUGUACAUCCCAAAAAAGGUGUAUAAUAUACACCCCACAGAUAUAGGGUGGAAUGGACUUUACUAAUUACGUCAAUGUGACUAGCAAAAGAGUCCCCACCCUUGGAUUGGCAUAUACAUUAUACACCUCUUUAUGAAUGUUUAUAUAGUAUUGCUCUUCUAUUUGGAAAAAUCUAUUUGUACAUCCCAAAAAGAGUGUAUAAUAUACACCCUACCACAUAGA
This 1644-nucleotide long non-coding RNA is filed under the name Ananas comosus (pineapple). RNAcentral describes it as "long non-coding RNA (ACOM_LNC030787)". Lineage: Eukaryota; Viridiplantae; Streptophyta; Magnoliopsida; Poales; Bromeliaceae. The record is from RNAcentral.